UACAGAGGGUGCGAGCGUUAAUCGGAUUUACUGGGCGUAAAGCGUGCGUAGGCGGCCAUUUAAGUCGGAUGUGAAAUCCCCGAGCUCAACUUGGGAAUUGCAUUCGAUACUGGGUGGCUAGAGUAUAGGAGAGGAAGGUAGAAUUCCAGGUGUAGCGGUGAAAUGCGUAGAGAUCUGGAGGAAUACCGAUGGCGAAGGCAGCCUUCUGGCCUAAUACUGACGCUGAGGUACGAAAGCAUGGGGAGCAAACAGG
Molecule: ribosomal RNA, 253 nt
Filed under: uncultured bacterium
Lineage: Bacteria
Description: partial 16S ribosomal RNA
Rfam family: Bacterial small subunit ribosomal RNA
Source: RNAcentral